UUUAGAGCUUAGAAAACAUAAGAAAUCAAGAGAUUCAAGGAUUUUAUGGCCAAGACAUGUUUUUGGGCUGUAAACCCCUUUUUAGGGUGCAAAUGACCCCCUGACACCUUAAUAAGCUUUGGUUAGUGACAUAGAACCUUACCCCAUGGACCUAAGGACCAAGAUUCACGAAAUGGUACUCCUUACCAAGAGCUUACGGCCGUAAACUCAUGGGGGAGUGGUCCCAGGGCCAUGAACACCAAGCAAGGCCAUUUUAGGGCCUUAAACCCACCCAAACUCUUGGUUAAAGCUUUGGAACACUUAACCACUUAAGCCCUUACAGUUUUAAGCCACAUUUGGUGACCAACUGAGAGUUUACAGCCAGGAGUUUACUCCCCUGGGCCAUAAACUCCAACACACAUGGUCUUUAGACCAUAAACUCCUGUAUGAGGCUUUGCACUCCUUUGUUGCAACCCGAUAACCUCCUAACACUUGACCAAAGUGUUUUCCUCACAAUAGGAUGUUUAUACAUGUUUAAUUAGUGUUAUAAUCACUAAUUGUUUAUAUACAUAUGUCCUCAUAUGUAAUCAGGAUCAUUGUGUGUGUCNGCUUAAAUGUUUAUACUUGUAUAAUUAGUGAUUAAAUCUCUAAUUAUUUAUAUACAUAUGUCUUCAUAUGUAAUUAGGAUCAUUGUGUGUGUCUAAGUCUUCACUUGACACGAAGCACUUGUCCGACACUUCCUUCUGAUCCCCUCACUGCAGGUGAGUUCAUAACCCUUUAAAAAAUGAUUUAAAUGUUUUUAAAUGUUUUUAUGUGGGGGGGAUACAAGUUGAAUCAUGCUAGUUAUUAUAUUAAUCACAUAUGAUUAAUAAGUA
This 854-nucleotide long non-coding RNA is filed under the name Lactuca sativa (garden lettuce). RNAcentral describes it as "long non-coding RNA (LSAT_LNC004147)". Lineage: Eukaryota; Viridiplantae; Streptophyta; Magnoliopsida; Asterales; Asteraceae. The record is from RNAcentral.